UCAGCAGUAUUACCUAUAGCUAACCAGCUGUGUGAUUCUCUCCAAGCCCAUUUUUUAACCUCAUUAUUUGUAAAACAACAGGGUUGGACUCUAUUAUACCUAAGAUUGUUUCCAUUUUAUAAUUUUAAAUCUGUGCAAAUUAUACUCAUGCACUCUAGGAAUAAACACGUAAGGUUGUUGAUAACGUGAAAACAUUGUAAAUAUUUAACUCAAAUUUGAUGCUUUUGGUAGAGAAAUUCGGUGGAAAAAAAUAUAACUCAGGAUUGUCAUAAAAUCUGAAUCAAAAGCCUGUCAGGAGUUGUGUUUACUGGGUAACAUUACAAUUCCCCUCCACAUAUGGAUUUACUAAAACAAAAUGUCAAAGUGUUUCAAGAAGAAAUCAUUGUUUAUUGUAUUCACACCAGUAGCUAGAAUGAUUCCAUAAAGAAGUCUCACGGCAUUAACAGUAUGAAACAUUGAGUGGUUUAGAGAUCUGCCUAAAAAGAGUUUACCUUCUCCCUCAACUAUUAAGGAUUACUUACCACAUGCAACAAUUUGGAAGGCACAAUUAACAACAGAUGAUUUAAAAAAUGCAAAUCCAUCAACAUUUUAUGUCCAGCCUUAAAAAGAAGAAAAACGAUGUUAUCAAGAUAUGAAAGGAAAGAUACAUUGUAGUGGUCACGGUAAGACAUAUUAAUAUGGAAUAUUUUAGGUCAAACCUGAAUCUUUGGUAUCUAUUAAUCUGUGUGAUCCCAACCUGAAAUUAUGACUCCAAUUUAAGUCCCAACCUACUGAAAUCUUACUAGUUGACUGGGAUGGGGGUGGGAGGGACUCUAUUAUUUUGAUCUUUUUUCUGGGUCUCUUGUAGCUGAAAGAGUAGAGUAGGUGGAAAUAACCACAUUUUUCUAUCUAAAAGCUGUCUUAUUCAAAAAUAUUCAGAGAAAAUUUUAAAAAUCAGAAGAGAGAAUCUGUGCCAAAUGCACAAACUAAUUUGUAAAACAGCUGGAAUUCUGCUUCAGCAAACCUUUGCUUUUACAGAAGAAUGAACAGGAAUCAGUAUUAGUAGGGGAAAAUAAUUUAGACACACUGUUGUCAAGGUAACCUUUUCUUAAUUUGGGGAAGAUUUUCCCAAGUUCUAACACAUACAAAAAUAAUAAUGAUAAUUUCCCUUCUCUUCAUUCUUUGUUAUGAUGAUACAAGUGAUAACAUGCAACUGAAAAGUGAAUUUAAAAACAAGCCAAACCAGAGAAAGACUUGUACAGCAGACAACUAGAUUUCCUCAUAGAGAAAAUUGGUAAAUAAUGGCAUGAGUUCCGAUGAAGAGGAUUAUGAAAGCUCUUAACUUUCCUUUUUAAGUCUUAAGUACAUUGUUACUCACAUAAAGUCCUUGUGCACACUAAGGGUCAGAUACAGUUUAUCUCUGGAGUUAUUCUGGCUCUAAGAUGCAGAAUUUUACUUCUGAAAUAAGAUUAAAUGUGACAGAUAAUAUUUGAGAUUUGUGAGCAGGAAAGAAAACUGUACUUUGGUAUUUAUGUCUCAUUAAAUCAUUUUUUGUACACAGUUCUCAUUAAGUCCUUUUGGAAAAAACUGUUAGUUUUCAUCAAAAGCCAUUUCUUUGCUUGUUUCCUAACAAGAUAAUUGGAGCUGGGCACAUCAUCUGGCUGGAAAGACAUUUCCCACCCACCCUUGCAGCCUGGUCUGGCCACAGACAUCAGUUCUUUCUACUGCCAAGCAGAUGAUAACAGUGCCCUGUGGGAGGAGGGAGUAAUAAGGAAGGAAGAAAUCUGAGUCCCUGCAUGACAGUGUGGAGCAGAGAUAUCCCAACAACCUGCAUUGUUUCUCUAAGGAUUCUCAUGUGAGAGAGGAAUAAAUUAAUGUUUUUCUUCAA
Manis pentadactyla (Chinese pangolin) is the source of this 1867-nucleotide long non-coding RNA. RefSeq lists it as uncharacterized. Lineage: Eukaryota; Metazoa; Chordata; Mammalia; Pholidota; Manidae. The record is from RefSeq and is a predicted model, not a curated record. The transcript has 2 exons.